This 541-nucleotide ribosomal RNA is filed under the name uncultured bacterium. RNAcentral describes it as "bacterial SSU rRNA". It matches the Rfam family "Bacterial small subunit ribosomal RNA", at positions 355 to 912 of the family's 1533-position model. The record is from RNAcentral.
UGGGGAAUCUUGGACAAUGGGGGCAACCCUGAUCCAGCCAUGCCGCGUGGACGAUGAAGGCCCUAGGGUUGUAAAGUCCUUUCACCGGUGAAGAUAAUGACGGUAGCCGGAGAAGAAGCCCCGGCUAACUCCGUGCCAGCAGCCGCGGUAAUACGGAGGGGGUUAGCGUUGUUCGGAAUUACUGGGCGUAAAGCGCACGUAGGCGGACCAGAAAGUUGGGGGUGAAAUCCCGGGGGCUCAACCCCGGAACUGCCUCCAAAACUAUUGGUCUAGAGUUCGAGAGAGGUGAGUGGAAUUCCAAGUGUAGAGGUGAAAUUCGUAGAUAUUUGGAGGAACACCAGUGGCGAAGGCGGCUCACUGGCUCGAUACUGACGCUGAGGUGCGAAAGUGUGGGGAGCAAACAGGAUUAGAUACCCUGGUAGUCCACACCGUAAAACGAUGAAUGCCAGUCGUCGGGUAGCAUGCUAUUCGGUGACACACCUAACGGAUUAAGCAUUCCGCCUGGGGAGUACGGUCGCAAGAUUAAAACUCAAAGGAAUUG